This 253-nucleotide ribosomal RNA is filed under the name uncultured bacterium. RNAcentral's name for it is "partial 16S ribosomal RNA". It matches the Rfam family "Bacterial small subunit ribosomal RNA", at positions 524 to 776 of the family's 1533-position model. The record is from RNAcentral.
GACGAACCGUGCAAACGUUAUUCGGAAUCACUGGGCUUAAAGGGCGCGUAGGCGGCUUUCUAAGUCAGGGGUGAAAUCCGGCAGCUCAACUGUCGCAGUGCCUUUGAUACUGGAGAGCUCGAGGGAGGUAGGGGUCUGUGGAACUUCCGGUGGAGCGGUGAAAUGCGUUGAUAUCGGAAGGAACGCCGGUGGCGAAAGCGACGGACUGGAUCUCUUCUGACGCUGAGGCGCGAAAGCUAGGGGAGCAAACAGG